Chionomys nivalis (European snow vole) is the source of this 613-nucleotide long non-coding RNA. RefSeq lists it as uncharacterized. The transcript has 3 exons. Lineage: Eukaryota; Metazoa; Chordata; Mammalia; Rodentia; Cricetidae. The record is from RefSeq and is a predicted model, not a curated record.
GUCUCUCUGUCUGUGUGUUUGUGUAUUUUAACCUCUAGCCCCUUACCCCUAGCUCACAAACUGUAUGGUAGCACAUAGAGCGCAUACAGGCAUUGUGUGCUGCGCACCUGGUCUUGAUUUAAUUUGGGUAUUUGGAUUUUAUCUAAAAACAAGUCCAUCUCUUUUACAUUUUCCAACUUUGUCACAUAUAGGCUUUUUAACAAGACCCAAUGAUUCUCUGAAUUUCCUCAGUGUCUGUUGUUAUGGCUCCAUUUUCAUUUCUGAUCUUGUUAUUUUGCAUGUUCUCUCUCUUCCUUUUAACUAGUUUGGAUAGGGGUUUGUCAAUUUUGUUGAUUUUACUCAAAGAACUAGCACUGUUUCCUUGAUUCUUUGGAUUGUUUUCUGUGUUUCUAUUUUGUUGAUUUCAACCCUCCAUUUGAUUUUUCCAGUCUUCUCCUCCUUGGACUGAAUGGCUGCGGGACCAGGUGGGACAGAAAUCACUUUCAACAGAAGGUUCCAUUGGAUGUUGAGAAGAUCCGAGAACUCACAAAUGGAGCAAUGUGUAUUUUAGCCAACCUGAGCUUCGGGUGACCUGUGGUUAUCGCUAAGGGGACUCGGUAUAAGGAGAAAUUUG